AUUGGCUGAUGAGGCAUGGGAGGCUCAGCAGGUCUGUUCCCUUGGCAUGUGGGACAUCUUGCAGUGGAUGCAGGGAGGGACCAUGCCUCUAGCAUUCUCUGGGAAGAAUAAAGGAGAAGUUUAUCUUCCCACCUACCUCCCAUUGCCUGUUUUUCAUUGGUCAAAACUUGUCCCACUAGGAAUUAACUCCUUCACAUUUCCAAGUUUAUAUCAUAUGACUGCUCCAACUACAUGGGACCCCAAACCCCAAACCUGAUGUAUGUAUAGUGUUCCUGUUUCAUCCAAGCCUGGAAAUGAGGGGAAGAGCCAGAACCUCUAGGCUUGGUGCUCUGGAAAAAGAAUUAGAAUUGCAUUCAAAUAGUCAGGCUUCAAGUUGCUUCUGCCUCUGUGUGAAGCAAAUAGUAACAACUCACUUCGAAACUCAGGCUCCUGGACUGUAAAUGAGGAUAAUGAUACUCACCCUACCAACCUCAGGGACUGUUCUAAGAGCAAAAUGAAAUGAGACUGAGCUCUGAAAAUGCUUAAAUGCUUUUCAAAGUAGAGUGAUCGUGCUUUCUGUAGCAUCAAAACAGUCCUCUAUAAAUGGGCAAAGUCAAGGCAUGGACUGGAUCUGACAACAGAGAAUGGCUUGAGGGCUGGAAAAAGAAAAAAAUGCAAAUGCCCCAAAUCUCUGCUUCCCUUACAGUGUGGAAAUCGCCCCAUAACACACUGCACCAGGUAGGGUUAAAUUGAUCCCAAAUGUUUCAGGAAUUUUUAAUGCCCUUCGAAGAGACAUUUCCAAUUCUUCAUCUGCCCAAAGUAAUGCUGCUAACCUACUAUCUGUCAGUUUCCUCAGUGCUUUGAAGAUUUUUCUAAAGUCAUCUGACUUGGUUUCCCUUUGAUUUCAAAUUCCUGCUUAUUAUAUGUAUGACCUUGAGCCUUUUUAACUCAUCUGAGCCUCUCUGUUUCCUCAUCUAUAAAUUGUGAAUAAGAAGACGUUACUGUAGGAUUAUUAGAAACUUUAGAAAUAAUACUUUUAAUACCAGCAUAGUGCCUGAUCCAUAGGCAUCCAGGACAUGCCAGCUAAGAUCAUUGAUUAUUGUUGUCGUUUUUAGUAUCAUACAGUAGAAAGAACAACAUCUUUGAAACCAGACAAUCCCGCAUUUAAAUCAGCUCUGUCACUUACGAAACGUGUAAUCCUGAAUAACUGAAGAAAACUUUUUGAAGUUCAAUUUUGAGAUAAUGAUGGAUGAUUUCAGACUUUGUGAGAAUUUCAGAGGUAUCGGCAGUAGGUUGAAUGGUGAACCCUCCAAAAGAUAUAUCUAUGUUCCAAACUCAGAAUCUGUGAAUGUGACAUUAUUUGGGAAAAGGGGGUUUUGCAGAUAUAAUUAAGUUAAGCAUCCUGAGAUGAGAUCAUCCUGGAUUUUCUAGAUAGGGCCUAAAGCCAAUAAUGAGUGUCUAAGACAGAAGAAGACACAAAGAAGAAGAGACGGGAAUGUGGUCACAGAGGCAGAGACUGGAGCAAUGCAGCCACAAGCCAAGGAACACCUGGACCCACCAGAAGCUGGAAGAGGAAAGAAGGGAUUUCUUUUUCUUCUAGAGCCUUGGGAGGGAGCAUGGCCCUGCUGACAACUUAUUUUCAGACUUCUAGAUUCU
This 1635-nucleotide long non-coding RNA is filed under the name Homo sapiens (human). RNAcentral's name for it is "HSALNT0322056". The record is from RNAcentral. Lineage: Eukaryota; Metazoa; Chordata; Mammalia; Primates; Hominidae.